GCCAUCCUCCUGCCAGGAGCUUCAUUACAGACACCAUGACAUGUGUGCAGGGAUUGACCAGCAAGGACGAUGACCACAGCACGGCCACCACUGGAAGCCACCGGACAGCUGGACAAUGGUGUUACAAAAUAAAGCAGGUAACAAAGAAAUGGACAAUGACCACAACACUCAGCUUUUAUUCAGCACCUGCCUUAGGCAGCACAUUAAAAGCUUUUAGUAAAUUCUUUUGUUUAAUCCUCACAAUAAACCUAUUAAAUGUUUAAAAAGUGAUUAUGACACGUAUGUACAAGUGAUUCUAAUCAUUUAAGGAGACACUUCUAUAGGCAUAGAUAAAUAACUGGAAAGAUAUACACUGAAUGGUCAACAGGAGUGCAUUUCUCUGAAUAGAAAUGUACGGAUCAUCUUUAUUUUCUUUUUUAUACCUACUUUUCUCAGUCUCUUCUAUCUUCUAUAAUAAAAAAAGAAGGAAAAAUUGUUAGCUAUCCCUUAAUGGUAUUUUAAUAUCUAGCUAUUUCUUUUUGUUGUUUUUAAUAAGUAGUAUAUAUAUAUAUAUAUAUAUAUAUAUAUAUAUAUAAUUUAUAUAUCUUAAGAAUAUAUAUGUACUCUCUUGUACACACACACACACACACACACACACACACACUCCUGCAAUCAGCUGCUGAAUACCCAAGGAAAUAGCUCAUUGGCCGCCUCAUUUUUCCUAGGUAAUGUAUGUCCCGGGGCUUGUUUCCCCGCGAAUGAGGUAUAUUUGUCUCCUCUGUCUUUUAGGGUUGGCCUCGGGUCCAUUAAUCAUUCUGUCUGGAGCCCAAGGAGAAGCGUCCAGGAGCAGGAGGAGGGCCAGAGCCGUGGGGCAGCGGUGAUGAAGGUGCCCUCCGCGGGGAGGCGGCCGGGGCCUGGAUGGAGAGGCCAUGUCCCACCUCGCUGCGCUGGCCACACCCUCCUGAGCGCUUCCUUCCCUUACUGUCCUGGGAAGUGAACGGGGCUGUUCUCUCCGUGUUCACAGAGACUGGAAAAGGACUGGAAUCCAGACACCAGAACUGAAGUGCGGGACUGCCCACCCUCCGCCUCCAAAUGGACACGUUCAAAGAGUGAAGGCAGAACGCGCUUCCUCUGGUGCUCUCCGUGCGUCCUGCACCCUCAACAGAAGCUGCUGGGCGCGAUGCCCCUCCCCGCCCUGUGGACAUCAGGCAAAGCCCAAGGCGAGUCCAGGACCCAGGGAAAGCCACACCAAGACACAGCAGAAAUGCUACAGUCAGCCCCAGGGAGUUAAAGUCUAACAGAUACAAGAAGGGUCCUCUGAGGACCCUGCAGCAGAGAGGCCACUGUCCCUGUGUCCCAUCUUUCUGAUGGCACACACCAGUGUGAACUAAGUAAGGUCAGGGAUCAAUGAAAGGCCACCUGGUGGCUGGG
This 1410-nucleotide long non-coding RNA is filed under the name Marmota monax (woodchuck). The record is from RNAcentral. Lineage: Eukaryota; Metazoa; Chordata; Mammalia; Rodentia; Sciuridae.